UACGUAGGGGGCAAGCGUUGUCCGGAAUCAUUGGGCGUAAAGAGCGCGUAGGCGGUCCGGUAAGUCGGUUGUGAAAACUGGGGGCUCAACCCUCAGAGGCCGACCGAUACUGCCGGGCUAGAGUCCGGAAGAGGCGAGUGGAAUUCCUGGUGUAGCGGUGAAAUGCGCAGAUAUCAGGAGGAACACCAGUGGCGAAGGCAGCUCGCUGGGACGGUACUGACGCUGAGGCGCGAAAGCUAGGGGAGCAAACGGG
Molecule: ribosomal RNA, 253 nt
Filed under: uncultured bacterium
Lineage: Bacteria
Description: partial 16S ribosomal RNA
Rfam family: Bacterial small subunit ribosomal RNA
Source: RNAcentral